GUAUAGCUAAAGCUAAAUGUAUUUUAUAAAAAUACAGAUGCGACUUUUCGUAUAAAGUUCUAGGUAGAAUUAUGAUAAUGACAUUAUCUAUCUAUAAGUCUUGACCAACAUGCGUGCCAGCAGUCGCGGCAAGACGCUAAAGACUAGUGUUAUUCAUCUUUAAUAGGUUUAAAGUGUACCUAGACGGUAAAUCAAGCCUUAACCGGGACUAAUUUAACUAGAGUUAGAUGUAAGGGUGCAUUAACGUACUAUUGAGUGUAGAGAUGAAAUGCUAUGAUACCAGAUAAUUGGCACGGGUUUAGGCGAAAGCAUCACCUUAUGUAAUAACUGACGUUGAGGGACGAAGGCUUUGUAUCGCGAAUGGGAUUAGGUACCCCAGUAGUCUAAGCAGAAAAUGAUGAAUGUCAUAGGUUAAAUAUUAUUUAGUCUAUAAAUGAAAGUGUAAGCAUUCCACCUCAAGAGUAAUUUGGCAACAUUGGAACUGAAAUCAUUAGACCGUAUCUGAAACCAGUAGUGAAGUAUGUUGUUUAAUUUGAUGAUACACAAAGAACCUUACCACAACUUGAAUAUUUUACAAGUGUUGCACGGCUGUCUUCAGUUAAUGUCGUGAGAUUAUGGUUAGUUCCAUUAAAUUAACGUAAACCCUUACUUUAUUUUAUUUUAUAUAAAGUUGUUCGCCGCUAUAUUGGUUAGAUAAAAGGGAGUAAGACAAGUCAUCAUGGCCUUAACGUUGUGGGCU
Molecule: ribosomal RNA, 739 nt
Filed under: Leptogium terrenum
Lineage: Eukaryota; Fungi; Ascomycota; Lecanoromycetes; Peltigerales; Collemataceae
Description: SSU rRNA
Rfam family: Bacterial small subunit ribosomal RNA
Source: RNAcentral